This is a long non-coding RNA of Lontra canadensis (Northern American river otter), 499 nucleotides long. RefSeq lists it as uncharacterized. The transcript is spliced from 3 exons. The record is from RefSeq and is a predicted model, not a curated record. Lineage: Eukaryota; Metazoa; Chordata; Mammalia; Carnivora; Mustelidae.
GAUACAUGUCAGUCUGCAGUCUACUUGCUAAUGAUGUCAGAAGAUAAGCGAUGAAAACCUCAUUUGGAAAAAAAAAAGUUUUGGAAGUUCCACCAAGAUGCCCGAUGGAUUCACCUGACAGAACCAGAAAUAAGAACAGAUAUAAACCGAAUAUUCCUCAUUUCAGAAAAUAAGGAAGUAUGUCAGCUUGAAGAUGAUUGGUAAGGGGCUUAGGUAACGUAAAGCUUUGGACUGACACUAAAUUGAGUUAAUGGAUAUUUAUUGGAUGUUCAGACCAUUUCUAAUCUGAAACACUCAUUGCUAAACAUCAUUUUAAGUGUAUAUAUUUUUGCUUCUUGGUUUUUGUUUUGUAAUGACAGCUGACAUGUAUUGAGUGCAUAGUUCUAUAACAUUUAUGAGAAUUAUUUCAUUCAAUCCUCAAAAUAACCUUCUGAAACUGGAACUAUUAGUCUUCUACUUUUUAACUUGCCCAAGGUCACCUAGUUAGUAAGAAGCAGAG